GAUGAACGCUAGCGGCAGGCUUAAUACAUGCAAGUCGAGGGGCAGCAUGGGUGUAGCAAUACAUCUGAUGGCGACCGGCAAACGGGUGCGGAACACGUACAGAACCUUCCUUCGAGCGGGGAAUAGCCCAGAGAAAUUUGGAUUAAUACCCCAUAGUAUAUUGAAGAGGCAUCUCUUUAAUAUAAGAUUAUCACUUGAAGAUGGCUGUGCGGCU
This 214-nucleotide ribosomal RNA is filed under the name uncultured bacterium. RNAcentral's name for it is "partial 16S ribosomal RNA". It matches the Rfam family "Bacterial small subunit ribosomal RNA", at positions 28 to 238 of the family's 1533-position model. The record is from RNAcentral.